CCUACGGGAGGCAGCAGUUGGGAAUCUUGCGCAAUGGGGGAAACCCUGACGCAGCGACGUCGCGUGGAGGACGAAGGAUUUAGGUCUGUAAACUCCUUUUUCAGGGAAAGACUUAGGACGGUACCCUGAGAAUAAGCACCGGCUAACUACGUGCCAGCAGCCGCGGUAAGACGUAGGGUGCAAGCGUUGUCCGGAUUUACUGGGCGUAAAGGGCGCGUAGGCGGUCUGUUAAGUGUAGAGUGAAAUCUCCAGGGCUCAACCCGGAAACUGCUCUGCAUACUGGCAGACUUGAGGGACGAAGAGGUAUGUGGAAUUCCUGGUGUAGCGGUGAAAUGCGUUGAUAUCAGGAGGAACACCCAUGGCGAAGGCAGCAUACUGGUCGUUUCCUGACGCCGAGGCGCGAAAGCGUGGGUAGCAAACAGGAUUAGAUACCCUGGUAGUCCACGCCCUAAACGAUGGAUACUAGGCGUCGGAGGUAUCGACCCCUCCGGUGCCGCAGCUAACGCAUUAAGUAUCCCGCCUGGGGACUACGGCCGCAAGGUUGAAACUCAAAGGAAUUGACGG
This 564-nucleotide ribosomal RNA is filed under the name uncultured bacterium. RNAcentral's name for it is "bacterial SSU rRNA". It matches the Rfam family "Bacterial small subunit ribosomal RNA", at positions 338 to 916 of the family's 1533-position model. The record is from RNAcentral.